GAGCUGGCCGGACAAAUGGCUGCCGAGGGUCUGGCUUCCAGUCUGAGAGGGUCCCGGCGCCUUCUGAGCAGCUUUGCCGCCGGGGCCGCAGUGGGCGCCGCGGGAGCAGGCUUCGCGGCGCUGCAGCUCUUUCGGAGCCAGGGCGCGGAGGCGGCGCGGGCAGCGGGGGAGCCGGACGCUACAGGAUCUGCAGAAAAGCCUGUCUUGGAACAGUUCGGAUUCCCUUUAACUGGAGCAGAGCCUAAGCGUUACACCAAUCAUGCCGUGUCUUACGAUCAGGCAAAGCGGGUGCCUAGAUGGGUUCUUGAACAUAUAUCCAAAAGCAAGAUAACGGGUGAUGCAGACAGAAAACAUUGUAAAUUCAAGCCUGACCCCAGCAUCCCUCCAGCCUUCAGCGCCCUCAAUGAGGACUAUCUUGGAAGUGGGUGGUCGCGAGGACACAUGGCUCCUGCAGGAGAUAACAAAUUCUCAACUAAAGCCAUGGCAGAAACCUUUUACCUUUCUAAUAUCGUGCCUCAGAAUUUUGAUAAUAACGCCGGAUACUGGAACAGAAUAGAGAUGUACUGUCGAGAACUGACGGAGAGGUUUGAAGAUGUCUGGGUAGUAUCCGGACCUUUGACCUUACCUCAGACUGGAAGUGAUGGAAAGAAAACAGUGAGUUACCAGGUGAGGACACAGCACCUGCUCACUCGGCAUUCUGGUCAUCGUGGAGGUGAGGAGGCCGCUUCUGCUCACUCGGCAUUCUGCUCGUCCGUGGAGGUGAGGAGGCAGCUCGUGCUCAAUCGGCGUUCUUCUCGUCCGUGGAGUGUUCGGGUUGUCCCUGGAGGUGAGGAGGCAGCUCCUGCUCAGUCGGCGUUCUGGUCGUCCGUGGAGGUGAGGAGGCGGCUCCUGCUCAAUCGGUGUUCUGGUCGUCUGUGGAGGUGAGGAGGCGGCUCCUGCUCAAUUGGUGUUCUGGUCGUCCUUGGAGGUAAGGACACGGCUCCUGCUCACUCAGUGUUCUGGUCGUCCCUGGAGGUGAGGACGCGGCUCCUGCUCACUCAGCGUUCUGGUCAUCCAUGGAGGUGAGGACGCGGCUGCUGCUCACUUGGCAUUCUGGUCAUCCCUGGAGGUGAGGGCGCGGCUCCUGCUCACUCGGUGUUCUGGUCGUCCCUGGAGGUGAGGACGCGGCUCCUGCUCACUCAGCGUUCUGGUCAUCCGUGGAGGUGAGGAGGCGGCUGCUGCUCACUUGGCAUUCUGGUCAUCCCUGGAGGUGAGGGCGCGGCUCCUGCUCACUCAGUGUUCUGGUCGUCCAUGGAGGUGAGGAGGCGGCUCCUGCUCACUCGGUGUUCUGGUCAUACCUGGAGGUGAGGACGCGGCUGCUGCUCACUCGGUGUUCUGGUCGUCCCUGGAGGUGAGGACGUGGCUGCUGCUCACUCAGUGUUCUGGUUGUCCGUAGAGGUGAGGACGCGGCUCCUGCUCACUCAGAGUUCUGGUCAUCCCUGGACGUGAGGAUACGGCAGAGGAGUUAGGACAGGAGAUACCAACACAGUCUCAACCGUCCACCUGAUACAAGUAGCUCACUCUUCAACAGCAUCUCUCUCCUACCCAUUGUCCAGUCCCUUCCAAGUCUGAUGAGUUGUCUUUGGGAAUGUUUCCUCUCCUGGGCCAACAGAAGGUUUGGGGACCAUGACCACUGGGAUUCUUCUAGUCUCAGUCAGACCAUUAAGUCUCGUCUUUUUAUGAGAAUUUGGGGUCUGCAUCCCACUGAUCUCCUGCUCCCUCAGGGGUUGUCUGUUUUGCUCCCUGUCAGGGCAGUCAUCGGUUGUGGCCGGGCACCAUCUAGUUUUUCUGGUCUCAGGAUGAUGUAAGUCUCUGGUUCAUGUGGCCAUUUCUGUCUCUUGGGCUCAUAGUUAUCGUGUGACCUUGGUGUUCUUCAUUCUCCUUUGAUCCAGGUGGGUUGAGACCAAUUGAUGCAUCUUAGAUGGCCACUUGUUAGCAUUUAAGACCUCAGACGCCACAUUUCAAAGUGGGAUGCAGAAUGUUUUCAUAAUAGAAUUAUUUUGCCAAUUGACUUAAAAGUCCCCUUAAGCCAUAGUCCCCAAAUUCCCGCCCUUGCUCCGCUGACCUUUGAAGCAUUCAGUUUAUCCCGGAAACUUCUUUGCUUUUGAUCCAGUCCAGUUGAGCUGAGCUUCUGUGUAUUGAGUAUUGUCCUUCCCUUCACCUAAAGUAGUUCUUAUCUACUAACUAAUCAGUAAAUAACCCUCUCCACCCUCCCUCCCUCCCCCCCUCGUAACCACAAAAGUAUGUGUUCUUCUCAGUUUAUACUAUUUCUCAAGAUCUUAUAAUAGUGAUCUUAUACACUAUUUGUCCUUUUGCCUCUGACUAAUUUCACUCAGCAUAAUGCCUUUCAGGUUCCUCCAUGUUAUGAAAUGUUUCACAGAUUCGUCAUUGUUCUUUAUCGAUGCGUAGUAUUCCAUUGUGUGAAUAUACCACCAUUUAUUUAAGCAUUUAUCCAUUGAUGGACACCUUGGUUGCUUCCAGCUUUUUGCUAUUGUAAACAGAGCUGCAAUAAACAUGGGUGUGCAUAUAUCUGUUCGCGUGAAGGUUCUUAUUUCUCUAGGGUAUAUACUGAGGAGUGGGAUUUCUGGGUUGCAUGGUAGUUCUAUUUCUAACUUUUUAAGAAAAUGCCAAAUAGAUUUCCAAAGUGGUUGUACCAUUUUACAUUCCCACCAGCAGUGUAUAAGAGUUCCAAUCUCUCCGCAGCCUCUCCACUGUUUAUUAUUUUGUGUUUUUUGGAUUAAUGCCAGCCCUGUUGGAGUGAGAUGGAAUCUCAUUGUAGUUUUAAUUUGCAGUUCUCUAAUGGCUAAUGAUCGAGAGCAUUUUCUCAUGUAUCUGUUAGCUGCCUGAAUAUCUUCUUUAGUGAAGUGUGUGUUCAUUUCCUUUGCCCACUUCUUGAUUGGGUUUUUUGUCUUUUUGUGGUUGAGUUUUGACAGAAUCAUGUAGAUUUUAGAGAUCAGGCGCUGGUCGGAGAUGUCAUAGCUGAAAAUUCUUUCCCAAUCUGUAGGUGGUCUUUUUCCUCUUUGGUGAAGUCUUUAGAUGAGCAUAGGUGUUUGAUUUUUAGGAGCUCCCAGUUAUCGGGUUUCUCUUCGUCAUUUUUGGUAAUGUUUUGUAUUCUGUUUAUGCCUUGUAUUUAGGGCUCCUAACAUUGUCCCUAUGUUUUCUUCCAUGGUCUUUAUUGUUUUAGUCUUUAUGUUUAGGUCUUUGCUCCACUUGGAGUUAGUUUUUGUGCAUGGUGUGAAGUAUGGGUCCUGUUUCAUUUUUUUGCAAAUGGGUUUUUUUUUUUAACAUUCAUUUUUUUGCAAAUGGAUAUCCAGUUAUGCCAGCACCAUUUGUUAAAAAGACUAUCUUUUCCCCAAUUAACUGACACUGGGCCUUUGUCAAAUAUCAGCUGCUCAUAUGUGGAUGGAUUUGUAUCUGGGUUCUCAAUUCUGUUCCAUUGGUCUGUGUGCCUGUUGUUGUACCAGUACCAGGCUGUUUUGACUACUGUGGCUGUAUAAUAGGUUCUAAAAUCAGGCAGAGUGAGGCCUCCCACUUUCUUCUUCUUUUUCAGUAAUGCUUUACUUAUCCAAGGCUUCUUUCCCUUCCAUAUGAAGUCGGUGAUUUGUUUGUCCAUCACAUUAAAAAAUGUCAUUGGAAUUUUGAUCGGAAGUGCAUUGUAUGUAUAGAUGGCUUUUGGUAGAAUAGACAUUUUUACUAUGUUAAGUCUUCCUAUCCAUGAGCAAGGUAUGUUUUUCCACUUAAGUAGGUCCUUUUUAGUUCCUUGCAGUAGUACUUUGUAGUUUUCUUUGUAUAGGUCUUUUACAUCCUUGGUAAGAUUUAUUCCUAAGUAUUUUAUCUUCUUGGGGGCUACUGUGAAUGGUAUUGAUUUGGUGAUUUCCUGUUCGAUGUUCUUUUUGUUGAUGUAGAGGAAUCCAAGUGAUUUUUGUAUGUUUAUCUUAUAACCUGAGACUCUGCCAAACUCUUUUAUUAGUUCCAGUAGUUUUCUGGAGGAUUCCUUAGUAGGAUAUUAUUUUAAUGUUAGAAGAAAAAAUGGCUUAAAGCUCUCUGUAUUCUCUUAUUUUUCAAAUGUUAAUUGGACUUGAGCUUUGUUAAAUCCUUUUUUCUCUUACCACUAGAAAAGAGAGCUUUGAAUUCAAACCUUCAGUGAUCAAAUUGCAGUCUUUUUUGUACUUGGUUUUUUAUAAAAUUGAUUUGUACAUGUAGCUAACUAUAUAAUAGAAGAAAAUUUUAUACAAAGUUUAAAAGGAAAAGUUAAACAGUAGUUAAGAGCCUUUUACUAACUAGUUUUGUUAGCUGCCAUUGGAAUUCUUUUGGAGACUGACUCAAGCAUUCUGCAGAAACAUUCAGUGCCUGGGGAGGAUGAACUGAUGUCUGCAAACUGCUGAGGUAGAAAGAUGUGACCCAGGAAUUUGUUACACAGACAGGUUGUCAGUGACAUGUUAAGUUAAUAAUGGAAAGAAAAUCUCUUCUGAAAUGUAGAACUACAGAAAUAGAACUGUCUAUGUACCCUGCCUGAAAAAGUUACCUAGAGAUGAUGGAGCCAACUGAAAGAUGAAUCAAAGAACUGAGAAGAUGGAAACGCUGUGAACGACGAAUCCAUUUAAACAUAGAAUUAAGUCUGAUGCUGGUAGAAACGGGCUUAUGCAUAUGUACAGUUAGGAAGUGAACGUUGAUAGGACCGACUCUUUCCACUAACAAGACAAAACAGACUGUGGCAAAAGAUAGAAAACUAAGGAAACAUUAAAAUGACAAAUUAUAUAACAGUGAUUGGUCAGGACGACGUGGCAGUCCCCUCCCACCUCUAUAAAGUGAUCCUGGCACGCAGAAGCCCAGCAUCCACUGAACCCCUGGUACUAGGGGCCUUUGUGGUG
This is an RNA transcript of Loxodonta africana (African savanna elephant), 4910 nucleotides long. It is a transcript of the gene named exo/endonuclease G, with no coding region annotated. The record is from RefSeq and is a predicted model, not a curated record. The transcript has 11 exons. NCBI's taxonomy places the organism in Eukaryota, Metazoa, Chordata, Mammalia, Proboscidea, Elephantidae.